Molecule: long non-coding RNA, 1402 nt
Organism: Aedes albopictus (Asian tiger mosquito)
Lineage: Eukaryota; Metazoa; Arthropoda; Insecta; Diptera; Culicidae
Exons: 2
Source: RefSeq, a predicted model, not a curated record
AUGUCAAAUUUCGGAACAAACUUUGAAAGUCUUUGUUUUUAUCUCGCGUUGUGGAUGCUGUUCCGGUGAAUUUUUCGUCACGAAAUCCGCGCUCCUCCGGAUAGGAUGGAACAGUUGAGAAAGCGGCUGGAUGCCGGUUCCUUGGAAAUUUUGGAAGGUAACGUAAAGGUAGGUAAAGGUUUUCGCGGAUGAAAAAGUAUUUCUUUCGGUAUUGUCAUUCCAAUAUUGUAUUUUCUUUUAGAAAGAUUGGCUUACGAAAUAGAUGGCACUGAGUCCGGAAUUCAGUAAAUCUUCCUGGAACUGCUGUAGCUGUUCAAUUUACUGGCGUGACAUACGGUUAAAACAAAAAUAUGGCAUACGGUUCAUACAAAAAUACAAAGUAAUGCAUCAAAACGAAUAAAAACAUAUUAUAAAUGAGUAAAUUCCAGAUUUUACUUCCAGCGCGGUUGAAAAUCUGAAUUUUGGCACGUAAGAGUCGUAUUUUACGUCGUACGUCAAGCGGAAUGAGCUGGAAUUGCAGCGUUAGGUUCGACGUGCGAAGAAAAAUCGACAAUCGCGUGCUAAAAUUCAGAUUUUCAACGCGCGCUAAGAAAAUUUCGAUUGCGCAAGAAAUUUCUAAACCAUUCCAUUUUACUAACCGAUGAGUAAAUUUUGCUCAUCCAAUUCUAAACAAGCGAAGCGUUUGUGGUGUGUAAAAAUCACUCAUCAUCAAAACGCUUCAUGAAAACGCUUCGCUGUGUAAAUUUCACUCAUGACAUUUUCAAGAACAACAGUUACUCUAAAAUGAGUAAACCGACAUUUGCUCAUUUUUUGUGUUGUCCCAGUUUAGCUCGGAGAUGUGUGAAAAGAACUCAAUUUAGAGUAACAUUUUCUUAGCGUGUAAGAAAAUGUUACAUACCGGCUGUGUUAAAUUCACGCAUCGAACCGUUUCGUGCACAAGAACGCUUCGGUGAGUAAAAAUUUUGCUCAUAAUGUGAGUAACUGUUCGCAAACUCACAUUUUGUGUAAAUUAGCUUUUAGCGUUUGUUUAAAAAACGGUUCGAAACGAAUGAAAUGUCAAAUUUCGAAACAAACUUUGAAAGUCUUUGUUUUUAUCUCGCGUUGUGGAUGCUGUUCCGGUGAAUUUUUCGUCACGAAAUCCGCGCUCCUCCGGAUAGGAUGGAACAGUUGAGAAAGCGGCUGGAUGCCGGUUCCUUGGCAAUUUUGGAAGGUAACGUAAAGAAAGAUUGGGUUACGAAAUAGAUGGCACUGAGUCCGGAAUUCAGUAAAUCUUCCUGGAACUGCUGUAGCUGUUCAAUUUACUGGCGUGACAUACGGUUAAAACAAAAAUAUGGCAUACGGUUCAUACAAAAAUGCAAAGUAAUGCAUCAAAACGAAUAAAAACAUAUUAUAAAUGAGUGAA